Molecule: non-coding RNA, 336 nt
Organism: Vicia faba (fava bean)
Lineage: Eukaryota; Viridiplantae; Streptophyta; Magnoliopsida; Fabales; Fabaceae
Source: the annotation of a GenBank genome assembly
AUGAUCUUAAUGCUUGCCAUGUUCCCGCAAAUACACAUCCAAGUCAUGCAUACCUAUAGUUGUAGGAUAUCCGAGAAGUGUAUUGAUGGUAUUGCGGCUGAAACUGAUUUCCCUUCCUCUAACAAAAGUCUUGAAAUUGAAUCUCUCUCCCUCCAGUUGAAUAGCAUUUGCAUAAAAUUCCCGAAUAACCUCAAAGUUUAUUCGAUCAACCGAAGUGAGAGGACGACCCCAAUUCUUGAGAUUGAAAAUAUUUGCAAUCUUUCCAUAUUGUCCAUGAGUGUCAAAUGUGAACUUCCUUUCCGCAAGUAUCUUUUUCUUAUCCAUUACCGCCAUUAG